RNAcentral lists this non-coding RNA (39 nucleotides) under Trypanosoma vivax. Lineage: Eukaryota; Euglenozoa; Kinetoplastea; Trypanosomatida; Trypanosomatidae. The record is from RNAcentral.
ACAUAACCUAGAUUGCGCAUGGUGAUACAUACAUAGUGA